This 74-nucleotide transfer RNA is filed under the name marine bacterium AO1-C. It matches the Rfam family "tRNA". Rfam says of the family: Transfer RNA (tRNA) molecules are approximately 80 nucleotides in length. Lineage: Bacteria; Pseudomonadati; Bacteroidota; Cytophagia; Cytophagales; Cytophagaceae. The record is from Rfam by way of RNAcentral.
AUGCUCUUAGCCAAGUUGGUCAAGGCACUUGUCUGAUACACAAGUAAUCGGGGGUUCGAGUCCCCCAGAGCAUA